RNAcentral lists this ribosomal RNA (509 nucleotides) under uncultured Bacillota bacterium. RNAcentral describes it as "bacterial SSU rRNA". It matches the Rfam family "Bacterial small subunit ribosomal RNA", at positions 397 to 896 of the family's 1533-position model. The record is from RNAcentral. Lineage: Bacteria; Bacillati; Bacillota.
CCGCGUGAGCGAAGAAGGCCUUCGGGUCGUAAAGCUCUGUUGUUAGGGAAGAACAAGUACGAGAGUAACUGCUCGUACCUUGACGGUACCUAACCAGAAAGCCACGGCUAACUACGUGCCAGCAGCCGCGGUAAUACGUAGGUGGCAAGCGUUGUCCGGAAUUAUUGGGCGUAAAGCGCGCGCAGGCGGUCCUUUAAGUCUGAUGUGAAAGCCCACGGCUCAACCGUGGAGGGUCAUUGGAACCUGGGGGACUUGAGUGCAGAAGAGGAGAGUGGAAUUCCACGUGUAGCGGUGAAAUGCGUAGAGAUGUGGAGGAACACCAGUGGCGAAGGCGACUCUCUGGUCUGUAACUGACGCUGAGGCGCGAAAGCGUGGGGAGCAAACAGGAUUAGAUACCCUGGUAGUCCACGCCGUAAACGAUGAGUGCUAAGUGUUAGAGGGUUUCCGCCCUUUAGUGCUGCAGCUAACGCAUUAAGCACUCCGCCGUGGGGAGUACGGCCGCAAGGCUG